GACGAACGCUGGCGGCGUGCUUAACACAUGCAAGUCGAACGCUGAAGCUCAGCUUUUGUUGGGUGGAUGAGUGGCGAACGGGUGAGUAACACGUGAGUAACCUGCCCCCUUCUUUGGGAUAACGCCCGGAAACGGGUGCUAAUACUGGAUAUUCACUGGUCUUCGCAUGGGGGUUGGUGGAAAGGGUUUUUCUGGUGGGGGAUGGGCUCGCGGCCUAUCAGCUUGUUGGUGGGGUGAUGGCCUACCAAGGCUUUGACGGGUAGCCGGCCUGAGAGGGUGACCGGUAACAUGGGGGGUGAGAUACGGCCCAGACUACUACGGGGGGCGGCAGUGGGGAAUAUUGCACAAUGGGCGCAAGACUGAUGCAGCGACGGCGCGUGAGGGAUGGAGGCCGUCGGGUUGUGAACCUCUUUGGCUCAUGGUCAAGCCGCAACAAUGGUUGUGGUGAGGGUAGUGGGUAAAGAAGCGCCGGCUAACUACGUG
RNAcentral lists this ribosomal RNA (483 nucleotides) under uncultured bacterium. RNAcentral describes it as "partial 16S ribosomal RNA". It matches the Rfam family "Bacterial small subunit ribosomal RNA", at positions 28 to 507 of the family's 1533-position model. The record is from RNAcentral.